CUGUACUAGAUGGGGAGGUAGCGGUGCCCUGUAACCUGCAAUCCGCUAUAGCAGGAUUGAAUUUCCAUCUAAAGGCUUAUUUCUGAUAGGGCCGCCCUAAAUAAGUGGUGUUGAUGCUUAGGUCCUGCGACAAUGAAAGCUCAUGAACCCCGUCAGAUCC
This 160-nucleotide signal recognition particle RNA is filed under the name Clostridioides difficile. RNAcentral describes it as "partial signal recognition particle sRNA large type". It matches the Rfam family "Bacterial large signal recognition particle RNA", at positions 1 to 155 of the family's 256-position model. Rfam says of the family: The signal recognition particle (SRP) is a universally conserved ribonucleoprotein involved in the co-translational targeting of proteins to membranes. Archaeal SRP consists of a 7S RNA and homologues of the eukaryotic SRP19 and SRP54 proteins. In most bacteria, the SRP consists of a 4.5S RNA and the Ffh protein (a homologue of the eukaryotic SRP54 protein). The record is from RNAcentral. Lineage: Bacteria; Bacillati; Bacillota; Clostridia; Peptostreptococcales; Peptostreptococcaceae.